GCAAGUCUGGUGCCAGCAGCCGCGGUAAUUCCAGCUCCAAUAGCGUAUAUUAAAGUUGUUGCAGUUAAAAAGCUCGUAGUUGAACCUUGGGCCUGGUUGGCCGGUCCGCCUCGCGGCGUGCACUGAUCCGACCGGGCCUUUCCUUCUGGGGAACCGCAUGCCCUUCAUUGGGUGUGUUGGGGAACCAGGACUUUUAC
This 197-nucleotide ribosomal RNA is filed under the name uncultured fungus. RNAcentral's name for it is "partial 18S ribosomal RNA". It matches the Rfam family "Eukaryotic small subunit ribosomal RNA", at positions 555 to 755 of the family's 1831-position model. Lineage: Eukaryota; Fungi. The record is from RNAcentral.